Molecule: non-coding RNA, 22 nt
Filed under: Arabidopsis thaliana (thale cress)
Lineage: Eukaryota; Viridiplantae; Streptophyta; Magnoliopsida; Brassicales; Brassicaceae
Source: RNAcentral
UGCUCGUCAGGUAUUAGCGCGA